GAGUUUGAUCCUGGCUCAGAUUGAACGCUGGCGGCAUGCCUUACACAUGCAAGUCGAACGGCAGCACGGGAGCUUGCUCCUGGUGGCGAGUGGCGAACGGGUGAGUAAUGCAUCGGAACGUAUCCUGGAGUGGGGGAUAACGUAGCGAAAGUUACGCUAAUACCGCAUAUUCUGUGAGCAGGAAAGCGGGGGACCUUCGGGCCUCGCGCUCUUGGAGCGGCCGAUGUCGGAUUAGCUAGUUGGUGAGGUAAAGGACUCACCAAGGCGACGAUCCGUAGCAGGUCUGAGAGGAUGAUCUGCCACACUGGAACUGAGACACGGUCCAGACUCCUACGGAGGCAGCAGUGGGGAAUUUUGGACAAUAGGGGCGAACCCUCGAUCCAGCCAUGCCGCCGUGAGUG
This 401-nucleotide ribosomal RNA is filed under the name bacterium enrichment culture clone ALO1_GLFRUDD03GIP24. RNAcentral's name for it is "bacterial SSU rRNA". It matches the Rfam family "Bacterial small subunit ribosomal RNA", at positions 9 to 407 of the family's 1533-position model. The record is from RNAcentral.